RNAcentral lists this unclassified non-coding RNA (349 nucleotides) under soil metagenome. Its description in RNAcentral is "partial contains 5.8S ribosomal RNA, internal transcribed spacer 2, and large subunit ribosomal RNA". The stretch from base 1 to 120 matches the Rfam family "5.8S ribosomal RNA", at positions 35 to 154 of the family's 154-position model. The record is from RNAcentral.
GAUGAAGAACGUAGCGAAACGCGAUAUGUAAUGUGAAUUGCAGAAUUCAGUGAAUCAUCGAAUCUUUGAACGCACAUGGCGCCUUCCAGUAUCCUGGGAGGCAUGCCUGUCCGAGCGUCGUUUCAACCCUCGAGCCCCCGUGGCCCGGCGUUGGGGAUCUGCCACGGCAGGCCCCUAAAACCAGUGGCGGACCCGAAGGCCCUCUCCUUUGCGCAGUAGCAUCAGCCUCGCAUUGGGAUCCCUCGGCGUCCUGCCUCUAAACCCCCCACAAGUCCGCUCCGGCGGCACCAAGGUUGACCUCGGAUCAGGUAGGAAUACCCGCUGAACUUAAGCAUAUCAUAAGCGGAGA